Molecule: long non-coding RNA, 4315 nt
Filed under: Sus scrofa (pig)
Lineage: Eukaryota; Metazoa; Chordata; Mammalia; Artiodactyla; Suidae
Description: lncRNA (ENSSSCG00035052782.1, ENSSSCG00045015822.1)
Source: RNAcentral
AAAAAAGAACAAAAUAAUGCCAUUUGCAGCAACAUGAAUGGAACUAGAGACUCAUACUGAGUGAAGUAAGUCAGAAAGAGAAAGACAAAUACCAUAUGAUAUCACUAAUAUCUGGAAUCUAAUCUACGGCACAAAUGAACCUUUUCACAGCCACAAUUUUAUAUGGUAUUGUGUAUGGGUUAAUUCCAAACUAAAGUUCCAAUCAAUGUAACUCAUUCUGUUUAAAAUCCAAACCCUCUACACCAAGCAUGAUCUGGCUCCAGGUCGUUUCUCUAACCACAACCCUAGUUCAUCCUUUCUAGCUAACCCAUCUCCUUACACCAGCCUUCUUUCUUUUUCUCACCCAAGCUGAGCUCCUGUUAUCUUUACAGCCCACACACAGGUUAAUCCUUCUUCCUUUUGCCCCUCCUCAUUCUUCAAUUGUCACUUUAAAAUAUCACCUCCUUAAAGAUGCCCUUAUUGCCUAUUCAUGUAGAUUAUAUCUCCCCAGUCAUGCUCUGUAAUGUUCCAAUCAAAAUGUGUAUUACACAUUUGUUUAGGUUUUCUUUAUUUAAUGUCUACGUAGUUCACUAGACUAGAAGCUCCAUGAUUGCAGGGACCACAUAUUUCUAAUGCAUUAUGUCAUCUAACAUAGUGAAACACAGGAGGCAUACAGCAGAUAACUAUAACUCAAUGAAUUAUAGUCUCUUUGAUUGCUUCUUUCUUAGACACUACUUGUUUAUUCCAUAAAAAUAAGCCAUAUUAUUUAUCAGCCAAUUGCAUGUUUAUUUUUUCUUCCUUUCUUUAAACAGUUAAGUUUUGAAUUUCAAGGAACAUUCAUUCAUUCCUCUUUGUUUACGAAGCACCUACUCUGUCCCAGAAAAUUAAAAACACACAUUUAAUAAUAGGGACAUUUAAUAGGGAAUGAGACAAAUGUUUCUAUCCUCAAUUCCACAAUGGGAAACAGGAAACAGACAUACACUACAGCCUGGGAAGUACUUUGGGAAUGCAAGAAGGGAUACCUAACUUGGAGUAAAUGGGUAGGAAAGACUUGCAUUGAAAGUGGCUUCCAAGCUGAGGUGUGGAGUAGAUCUUAGCCUUACCAUCCUUCUUUUACACACUAAAUUCAAGACCACCUUCUCUCUCAUGUGUGAACUCCCUUUCACUUUUAUCAACAUGGACUGUGGAGCACUUUUCCCUACACGGAGAAAGAGCUAGUAAUAAUAAGGUGUCAGAGUGACUUUCACUUGGCUUCUAGCAAGUAAAAUCCAGGACAAGUUCAAAGCUAUGACUAUAUUAUCUUUCUCUCCAUUGGUCUCCUUCUUGAAUAUCCCACAGCGACUAUGAAGUUUCAGCUCAAAGAACUUAUUAUUUUUCUACUCUGUGCACUGGAGUCCAGCUCCGGAAUAUGAAAGCACGUUGUAAGGGCCACAGAAGCACUGAAGUCUCUCAAAGCCUAUUCCUUCCAAUAUUUGUUAACCUCUCUCACAGUAAUAGAAACACAUCACAAGAGGUUUUUGCUCUUUCAGAAAAACGUAUGAUGGGAAUAGGAUAGGUUAAAUAAAUUUUGCAUGGCUUUCACUUCUUUAAAUUCAUUCUUUCAUUAAUGAAUAGAAUACCUCAUGUUUAUUUGUUCUGACUAGUGUAGUAAGCACGAAUUCCACAUAGUAUAAGAAAGCAGAAAAACAAUUUUUAAAUGUUACAUGAACACACAGUGGUCUUCCCAAUUCUGAUAUCUCUUCCAGGUAAGAUGUUACUUCUUGCGCAAUAAAAUUUGAAUGAAUGAAUGAGGUUGGACAAAGACGCUGAAGUUCAAUUUUGCAUAACAGUGGAUGAAAAAAUUAAAACAGUGGACAUUGAUUAUAUUGAUGUUUAUGACAGUAUCGAACAGUCACUUCUUUUUACCAUAAAGUUCAUCAUUUUCAAUUAGAAAGUUAGUGUGUCUAUCUUUGUUUUUUUCCUUUUUACGUCUGCACCUUAGGCAUAUGGAAGUUCCCAGGCUAGGGGUUGAAUCAGAGCUGCAGCUGCCCGCCUACCCACAGUCAGGGCAACAGAGAAUCCAAGCUGCAUCUGGGACCUAUCCUGCAGCUUGCGGCAACACCGGACUCCUAACCUACUGAGUGAGGCCAGGUAUUGAACCCGCAUCCUCAGGGACACUAUGUCAGGUUCUUAACCCACUGAGCCACAGUGGGAACACCUAGUGUGUCUUUCAAUUGCAUAGUCAGUUCCACUAUAACUCCUGAUUUGAAAAUGCAAAUUCCCCACAGGAAAUAAUUGAAUAUGAUACCAGUUUCCCAUUUGGGUAUGCAUUAUUUUGCAUGUGAUAAAUAGUAAGGAACACAGAAAACUGCACCCAACUGACACUGGCUACACAGGAAUUCACAAAAUGCCCCACAAACAUCUACCAGGUACUUCAGUCUGCCCUAUGUGUUAAGAACCAUAUCUGGUGUAGAGCUUCCUAUCAGAUUUCAGAUAACCUCCCUUCUACCUCAUCACAAUAAUUCUCUAGCUGCAGCUCUUCUAUAAGCAAAUUUCGGGUCUCUUUCAAGGUAAAGUCCAUUUUUAUUAUAAUAUUUAUGUAUUUCUUAACCAUUUACAUGUGUAAAAUUAUGCUACCAUUUCGAUUAGGUUCCUGUCUAUAUGUGUGUGUGCCUAAUUCAGAUAUCAAGUGUAUACCUCAACUUUUGUUUCCCAUAAGUGCUUGUGAUUUGUAUUUCAUGAUUUCGAAUAGAGAGGUAAAUUUUAGGAACAUAUAUGUUGUGUUGUAGCAUGUACUACUUCCCAUUGUUAUUUGUGUGAUUUUUUUGAAGACCUUCUCCACAAUUUAAAACUGCCUUAUGAUAUUAAAUGCACGUUUAACUUAAAAUAAUUUUUAUUCUAAUUUUUUUAUGAUUAUUCAUUUCCAGGAUUGCUAAUAACUAAGGAUAUAAGAAAUUAUAUUUUCUUUGAUGGAAAAAAAUUCAAAAAGAAAAUUAAGUGCAUCAAUCAUCAACUAGUAGCUUAAAAAUAAUAACUCAUUGUCUAUUUCUAUGAAAUUGAGUAAAUCCUCCUCUAUUACAUAAUCUUCAAAAAGUCCAGGAAUUAUUUUCUUGGUGGUGAACUCCAAAACUUUUUUUUUGGUCUUUUUUGCCAUUUCUUGGGCUGCUCCCGUGGCAUACGGAGGUUCCCAGGCUAGGGGGCUAAUCAGAGCUGUAGCCACUGGCCUAUACCACAGCCACAGUAACACGGGAUCCAAGCCGCGUCUGCAACCUACACCACAGCCCACGGCAACGCCGGAUCCUUAACCCACUGAGCAAGGCCAGGGAUUGAACCUGCAACCUCAUGGUUCCUAGUCAGAUUCGUUAACCACUGAGCCAUGACGGGAACUCCUCCAAAACUUUUUUAAAGCUAAAUAAAACAGGUUCCUCAUAAUUGUUCAAAUAUUACACUGAAUAUUGUAAAGAUAUAUAAAUAACUAUAGAAAUUGCUAUGGAUGAAUGGUUAUUGAUUGGGCUUUUUUUUUUUUUUUAAGCUAUGCACAUGACAUCAGGGAAUUCCCCAGCCAGGGAUUGACUCCACACCACAGCAGCAACAAAGCUGGAUCCUUAACCAGAUGUGCCACCAAGGAACUCCCAUGUCUGGGCAUUUCUGAAGCGGUCAUCUUGCUAAAAAUAUGGAGACCGGUCACUCAUGAAGAAAAGCUCUAGGUUAUUUCUGUUAAAUAACUCUAAGAAUAAUAGAGUAAUGAAUGUUUCAAGCUACUAGAAUAACAGAAUAUUUUUACCAAUAUAUACUAGCAUAAAACUAAUUGCUCUAUAGCCAAUAGAAAUACAGAAAUAGUUAGCAAGCCAAUUAACAAUGGGUGUGAAUAGAGGUGUCCCCAUGGCAUCAGGCUCUAUUCUUUCAGAACACAGUCAAUAAUGUGAUCUUAGAAAUAAUGACCUUUAACAGAAUCUCAUGGUUUAUGUAUUUUCUAGUGUCUAUUUUCUAUGAAGGAUGUAUCAUGAGGUUUCCACAAUGCUACAGUGAAGGCAGGAAACAUUUUUUUGAAGUGCUCAUAAACUGUGAAUAAAUUGCUUUUAAUCAGACUUUUUCUUUAAAAAGAAAUAGAGACAAUAUAAAGGAGUGUAACUUUCUCACUAAAGAGAUAGAGGAAAAAGAACCUGACAGAGCAAAUCCAAACCAAUUAAGCAGAACAAAAACCAUUUUAAAGUGAAUAAAACAGAGCUGAACAUCAAAUAUAGGUCUAAUAUUGAUGUGAAUAAAUUAUGCAGCUCUAAUUGUGAAAUUUACAUUAAGUAUACCAUGUCAGUUCUAAUAUAGUCAUUAUAUUUUAUUGAAAAUAUUAUUAAAAAUU